UUAGAGUUUGAUCCUAGCUCAGGAUGAACGCUGGCGGCGUGGAUAAGGCAUGCAAGUCGAACGGACUUCAUUUUUCCAGAGAUGCGAUUAUAUCAAGUCAAAGGUCGUUUGAAGUUAGUGGCGAACGAGGUAGUAAUACAUAGGAACUUCCCUCAAAGUCGUGAAUAAUUCGUCGAAAGACGGACUAAUACACGAUNNUACCAAGGCUAUGACGUCUAGGGGAGGUGAGAGCCUGACCCCCACCGAUGGUACUGAGACACGGACCAUACACCUACGGGUGGCUGCAGUCGAGAAUCUUCCACAAUGGACGAAAGUCUGAUGGAGCGACGCCGCGUGAUUGAUGAAGUCCCUUUGGGACGUAAAGAUCUUUUAUGAGGGAAGAAGUUUAUUGACUGUACCUCAUGAAUAAGAGGCUCCUAAUCUCGUGCCAGCAGGAGCGGUAAUACGAGAGCCUCGAGCGUUAUCCGGAAUUAUUGGGCGUAAAGGGUGCGUAGGUUGUUCUGUUAGUCUUUUGUUAAAGACCCGGGCUUAACCUGGAGACCGCAAAAGAAACGGCAGAACUUGAAAGUGCGAGAGGCGUACGGAACUCAUGGUGUAGGGGUGAAAUCCGUUGAUAUCAUGGGGAACACCAAAUGCGAAGGCAGUACGCUGGCGCAUAUUUGACACUGAAGCACGAAAGCGUGGGUAGCGAAUGGGAUUAGAUACCCCAGUAGUCCACGCCCUAAACGAUGAUCUCUCGCUAUUCGGAGUAUCGACCCUCUGAGUGGCUUAGCUAACGCGUUAAGAGAUCCGCCUGGGAAGUACGGCCGCAAGGCUAAAACUCAAAGGAAUAGACGGGGACUUGCACAAGCAGUGGAUUAUGUGGUUUAAUUCGAUGGUAAACGAAGAACCUUACCAGGGUUAGAAAUCCUAGUGAAAGCCCGAGGAAACUCGGGGCCUCGCAAGACUCUAGGACAGGUGAUGCAUGGCCGUCGUCAGUUCGUGGUUUGAAUUGUACCCUUAAGUGGGCUAACGAACGCAACCCUCGUUGUGUGUUACAAGUGUCACACGAGACCGCCCCCACCUUUGUUCGCGAAGCGAACAAUUUUCAAGUAGCAAUUUACAAUUUUCAGUCAAUUAUCAAUGAUUCAAUUUAAAAAUUAUUCAUUGUAAAUUAAAAAUUUAUUGAAAAUUAGAAAUUAAAAAUUGAAAAUUUGUUUAUGCUUACGCAUAAAGGUGGGGGAGGAAGGAGAGGAUGACGNNGCCAGGUCAGCAUGUCCCUUGAUACCUUGGGCUACACACAUAAUACAAUGGCCACUACAACGCGCAGCGACGAGGCGACUCUGAGCUAAUCGUCCAAAAGUGGCCCCAGUUCGGAUUGGAGUCUGCAACUCGACUCCAUGAAGUUGGAAUUGCUAGUAAUCACAGGUCAGCUAAACUGUGGUGAAUACGUUCUCAAGUCUUGUACUCACCGCCCGUCAAGUCAAGGGAGCCGGGAGUACCCGAAGUCUCUACAUAAGUAGGGCCUAAGGCAAGCUCGGUGACAGGGACUAAGUCGUAACAAGGCACGGCUAGCGGAAGCUG
RNAcentral lists this ribosomal RNA (1563 nucleotides) under Candidatus Nomurabacteria bacterium. Its description in RNAcentral is "bacterial SSU rRNA". It matches the Rfam family "Bacterial small subunit ribosomal RNA". The record is from RNAcentral. Lineage: Bacteria; Candidatus Nomuraibacteriota.